RNAcentral lists this non-coding RNA (1866 nucleotides) under Pongo abelii (Sumatran orangutan). Lineage: Eukaryota; Metazoa; Chordata; Mammalia; Primates; Hominidae. The record is from RNAcentral.
GGAGUGGAAAAUGGCGGCCUCCUUGCCGCUUGGGUUACCAGAGUCCUCCCGACCUCGUGCUUUCUCCGGGCGCCCGUAGCUGGUGCCGGCAUCCACAAAAAUAGAUCAGAUAGAGGAUGAAUAAAGAGGAAGCUCCAGGCUGUGAGGUGUCUAAUCCUUGCUCCCCUCAGAAGUUGGGACAUGUUGGACCAAGGUGGUAAGGAUAGUGAGAGGCCAAAGAUUUAACAAUACACUGUGAUGCUGGGGCUGGCUGGGAGGAGAUUGCACCUUUAUAGCCCGGUGGUGGCAAUCCAGAGUGCAACCCCUAGAGAUGGCAACUUGACAAGACCUCUCAAAAAACACUACACACAGUUUUUGAGCCCCUCAACCCACUUCUGAGAGUAUGUCCUAUGGCAACAUGUGCACACAUGGAAAAUAAAGCCUGUACAAGUUUCCCAGAAGCUGGACAAGCCACGACGGCGCCUUCCAAUAAAAGGGGAACUCCAGAGACGCUAUGAGAAAAGAGGAACAGACAUCUGCAAUAGAUAUCUGCAACUUCCUUUUCAAAAACACCAUCGGCAUUGCUUUCUCAGGAAGCCACUGCCAGCCUAUUGUGAUAGCUGACACUGAGUUCCUGAAAAUUCUCUAAUUAGGAUCCCAGACUGGAGGGUCAGCCAGUGGUUAACAUAUAAAUGGACACAAAACUGAUUUUAUUGGAAGACUGAGGGUGGGCACUCACCAUGGUUCUAAGCAUUACUCAGAAGAUCCAUAAAAACAUUACAGUUCUGUUGUGUAAGAGUUUAGGAAAAAAAGAAAAUCCUGACAAAAAUCCCAACCUAAAAAACAAUGUCAACAUUUGUAAGUAGGAUGGGGAGGCAGAGAUGAAUUGGCAGCGUUAUCACAGCUACUGGACUAUGUGGACUUUAACAAAAUAAGAAACAGGGGUGGGGGUUGGGUGGUGGUAUCUUAACAGAGCAGGAGUAGAGACGGAUGUCCUGGGGCAGAAUGGGUACCAAUGCUGCCUGAAGCCUGGAGCUGGGAGCUAAGGACUAAGAGGUAGACAGGAGGGUGGGGACCCGUACCUGCUCCAAGGAACUGGUGCCCCAGAACUGGUGAGCUGGGGUAUGCAUUUAAGCUCAUUCGUUUACCAGAAUGCAGUCACCACCUGAUGAAAGAAAUGACUAAUGGCAGGACUUGAACAGUUCUCUAUAAAUGAGUACCUGGGAGAAAAACAGGUCUCCAGGCUCCACAAUACCCAACAAACACACUGCCUUUAGCCCAUUUCAAGCUGCACUUCUUACACCGAACCCAACCCAACCAACCUCAGAGGUAAGGGUGAGAGCAGGCAAUGAACAGCUGUGAUUCUCCAUUCCCUGGCCAGGCAGGGAGCCUUUCCAUCCACCCUCGUGAGACUGCUUGUAACACAAAUAAGGAAACCAACUCCAAGACUCAGUAACUCACCCAAGGUCAGAACCACUGAGUGGCAGGGCCUGUGAGCCACAAAGGAGACUGAAAACCAGAAAGAGCUUCUCUCUGGUCUGUUAUUUUAAGAAAAACAUGCCCAGAGGGGCCACCUGGAACCAAGGCUGUGGCUCCCUCACCUUCCUCUCUAAUUAAACAACAACUUCCCAGGAGCAACAACAGCAACAACAGGCUGGCCCAGCAGAUGAACUGGAAUCAAUCCAAGCCUUUCCCCUAUGCCAGGGCUGGUGUAGCGUAGGCAUACGGGUCAGUUUCGGCACUAACACCUACUUAGUUUGGGCACUACUUUACCUGCUGUGAAGUCUACUGGGAUCUUCCAGGAAAGUCCUACCUCAUUAGUAAAAAGAAAAACAAAGACUCAGGAAGAAAGUUCCUGCUCUCCCUGUUGAAUGCUGUGUGAGGAUA